AGAGUUUGAUUAUGGCUCAGGAUGAACGCUGGCGGCGUGCUUAACACAUGCAAGUCGAACGGAGCCAAGAGAUGCUUGCAUCUCUGAAGCUUAGUGGCGGACGGGUGAGUAACGCGUGAGUAACCUGCCCUUUACCGGGGGAUAACACUUAGAAAUAGGUGCUAAUACCGCAUAAGCGCACAGAAUCGCAUGGUUCAGUGUGAAAAACUCCGGUGGUAAAGGAUGGACUCGCGUCUGAUUAGCCAGUUGGCAGGGUAACGGCCUACCAAAGCGACGAUCAGUAGCCGGCCUGAGAGGGUGAACGGCCACAUUGGGACUGAGACACGGCCCAAACUCCUACGGGAGGCAGCAGUGGGGGAUAUUGCACAAUGGGGGAAACCCUGAUGCAAGCGACGCCGCGUGAGUGAAGAAGUAUUUCGGUAUGUAAAGCUCUAUCAGCAGGGAAGAAAAUGACGGUACCUGACUAAGAAGCCCCGGCUAACUACGUGCCAGCAGCUGC
Molecule: ribosomal RNA, 499 nt
Filed under: uncultured bacterium
Lineage: Bacteria
Description: bacterial SSU rRNA
Rfam family: Bacterial small subunit ribosomal RNA
Source: RNAcentral